Non-coding RNA from Candidatus Lloydbacteria bacterium, 71 nucleotides. The record is from Rfam. NCBI's taxonomy places the organism in Bacteria, Candidatus Lloydiibacteriota.
GCCCGGGUAGUUCAGUGGCAGAACGGCUCCAUGGUAAGGAGUAGACGGAAGUUCAAUUCUCCCCCCGGGCU